GUCUGUCGCCAAGCGGUAAGGCAACGGGUUUUGAUCCCGUCAUACCUAGGUUCGAAUCCUAGCAGA
RNAcentral lists this transfer RNA (66 nucleotides) under Vibrio cholerae HC-40A1. RNAcentral's name for it is "partial tRNA-Gln". It matches the Rfam family "tRNA". Rfam says of the family: Transfer RNA (tRNA) molecules are approximately 80 nucleotides in length. Lineage: Bacteria; Pseudomonadati; Pseudomonadota; Gammaproteobacteria; Vibrionales; Vibrionaceae. The record is from RNAcentral.